AAAUUUACUAUGGUUCAAUAUUCACAUUAAACUGGAUACUUAUGGUAUUAUUAGAGGAGACCAGGCAAGAAAAUUUUAAAUUUACUAAAGUAAGAUUAAACCACCUUAUUACACUAUGACUAAAAAAGUGCCAGCAGUCGCGGUCAGACUUUUAUAGUGGUGAAAUUUUAAAGUGUAAUAAGCUUAUAACAUCUAUAUUGGUGAAAUGAUAUUUAUAAACUUGUAUAAACUAUAUAAAGAACCUAAUAUUGACUAUAAACAAGGAUUAGAUACCCUUCUAUACAAUACUUACAUAUUUCUACACUGAGCACUAAGACCUUCUAAGGUUAAAACUCAAAUAGCAUGGCGGUAAUUUUAAAAUUUAGGGGAACUUACCAAGUAAUUGAUAGCCACCAAGGAAAUCUACUUUAAUGUAAUAUUUUGUAUGCCGUCGUCAACACAUAAUAUAUAAUAUAUUAUCUUAUUAGUAUCAGUAACUAAUAGUACAUAUCAGUGCACAUUAUCGUAAAGUUUAGGCGAGUUACAAUUUUGUUAAGCGAAAAUUGACUUGAAAAAUCAAUUGAAGGAGGACUUAAAUGUAAUUUAAAAUUACUCAUAAAAAAUGAAUAAAUUAUAAAAUUGUGUACAAAUCGCCCGUCACUCUUGGGCUCACCUAAGAUAAGUCGUAACAUAGUAGGCGUAGCGGAAGCUGCUCCUA
RNAcentral lists this ribosomal RNA (697 nucleotides) under Euhadra herklotsi. Its description in RNAcentral is "small subunit ribosomal RNA". Lineage: Eukaryota; Metazoa; Mollusca; Gastropoda; Stylommatophora; Camaenidae. The record is from RNAcentral.